RNAcentral lists this small RNA (4334 nucleotides) under Pan troglodytes (chimpanzee). RNAcentral's name for it is "retained intron". The stretch from base 3071 to 3197 matches the Rfam family "Small Cajal body specific RNA 15". The record is from RNAcentral. Lineage: Eukaryota; Metazoa; Chordata; Mammalia; Primates; Hominidae.
GAGUUUGAGACCAGCCUGGGCAACAGGGCAAAACCCCAUCUCUACAAAACUGCACCCAGCCAUUUUGUACUAUUUUUAUCUUGUUGCUUUUUUCUUUUUCUUUUUCUUUCUUUUUUCUUUUUUUUUUUUUUUUAGUGGUUUCAGACAGUGGUUCAGACCAGCUGCUAGAGAAUCAUGGGCUAAGAAGAGAAGACUACCAAUUUAGUAGAUUUGGACAUGGACAAGCCACAGGCAGUUUCUCUUCUCACUCUCUUGGCCAGUCAUCUCUUGCUCACCUUCCCCUGCCAGUAGCCAGUAGCAUGUGACAGCCUCUAUAUUCCAUCUCCCUUUUCUCCCUCUUCCAGAACUAAGAUGAGUUUUCAAUGGAUAACUGUACAGAAACAUACCCACUGCUGAGUUUAUAAUAAAUAGGUAAAUGGUGUUUAAAAUGCCUUCUGUAGGAAUCCUUGGUAGAUAGUUAUAUGUGGUUAUUUUUUGGGAAGUUGGCUUGAGGUUCUUUGAAGGGCUGGGAACGUGUAUUUCUUUUGCGUGUGCCUGUGUGUGUCAAAAUUUUAUAUGUUCAUCAGUGCUCUACACGUUCAGAGAAACGUUUCCAAUAACGAACCAUAGAAUGAUCCCUGGAGCAUAGGAUCCCACUGUUUGAAAAUUCUAGCCAUUGAUCACUUUAUAAGAAAAGGAUGAAAUUUCAAACAAGGGGUUUGUUUAUCUGAUUUCCACCCUACAGAUAAUAUAUAAAUUUGGCCAAAGUUGUUUGGGGGAGAGGGGCUGUUGUUAGGUACUGAGCUAUAAUACUUUGUUGCUUUGUAUCACUUUUAAAAGUGACUUUUAAAGAUACUUGACAUUUGAAAAGGAAUCACCUUUGAUCUUUUUAAGUCCCUAAUUUGACAUUACCUUUAUAGCAUAUAAUUUAUUCCAUAAAGUCUUAGAUCCUGAAACUAGCGGAAAGCCAAAUACUCAUGUUGUGCUAUAAAUAUAGGAUUGACAGUUAAGCUUACUCAGUAGUCAAGGGGGCGGCUUUCACUGACCAGCCUCCAGGGCAUAUGAACCAAAUUUAUGAUUCAGAACAUUUAAAAUAUACAUUUUGAAGAUCUUUGGGCUCUCUUAAGUAUAGUCUAACUAUAAUAAAUAUUAAACAUGUCAAAGGUCUCUUGCAGUGUUGGGAAGAGCAUUCUAAACCACAUACAUCUUUCCCAUCCCCAGAUUGUUCUGUGUCCCCUCCCACUCUUCCCAGAUUAGAAGUCACCAUGGAGCACUAUUAGUAAUGGGACUCUGUAUCAGAUCUUUAAGGUGUAUUGGGACAGAAGAAAGGUUGAUAUUUUGGGGUUGUUGUUUUUUUUUUGAGACAGAGUUUUCACUCUUGUUGCCCAGGCUGGAGUGCUAUGGCGCGAUCUUGGCUCACUACAAUCUCCGCCUCCCUGGUUCAAGCAAUUCUCCUGCCUCAGCCUCCUGAGUAGCUGGGAUUACAUGCGCCCACCACCAUGCCCGGCUAAUUUUUGUAUUUUUAGUAGAGACGGGGUUUCAUCAUGUUGGCUAGGCUGGUCUCGAACUCCUGACCUCAGGUGAUCUGCCUGUCUUGGCCUCCCAAAGUGUUGGGAUUACAGGUGUGAGCCACCAUGCCCAGCAGGUUCAUAUUUUUAAUGUUUCCUUCUACUCCCCAAGCACACACAAAUUUGAAAGCUGCUUUGCUUUCUAAUAAAGAGGCUUUUCCUUUGAUUUUGGAAGAUAAUUUGAUGUCUCUUUUCUCUUUGCAGGUAUAUGAGCUCCCUGAAAGCACAAAGCAGUUAUUUCCAUCUUCAGAUCAUUCAGAGAUUAUGAAGGCACAAACCCUGCCUUCAAUUUGCUUAUAGUCAAGUGGAGCAGACACAAGUAAAUGAUUGCAGUAUAGCCACUUAAGUAAUCUAAAAGAGGUGAGUGUGGCACUUAACCUCUCCUGGGAGGGGGAGGAAUAAGGCAGUGUUUCCAAGAGGUGAUUUUGGAGCUAUACAGGCAUUAGGUAGACAAGGAAGGGGAGGUCCAUUCUGGGUGCCUAGGCCUCUGUGGCUGAUUUAUAAAUCGUAAAUGGUACAAAAAACAGUGUUGAGUAUCUUUUACCUUUCUCUAGAGUACUGUUCUUACUUUUGGAUAGUGCUUCUUGUUUUUUCCUUCCCUCUCCCUGUCCCUGUCACCUUUAAAUUAAAUGAAUGUUUGGAAGGAAGUAGGAGGGUAAGAAUCUUUCUGGGUGGCAGAAUAAUAGAUGGGUCUACCAAGAGCGAUGUAUAUACCCAGUAAAGCCAUCUCUAAAACUGUGUUUCUGCAUUGUUACAGUGCAUAGUUGGGAAAUCUCAGUUUUGUUGGCUGUGUACUUUCCCAGUGAAUGGAUUAUAUUCCUUUCUGAGAUCCAGUCUGUUUGAAUUCAAGGGCAUCUCUUAAAUUCCUUUCAAGCAAGAGACCUAACAUUUAUACUUAGGAAUGAGAGUAGUAGAGACAGCAAGAUUAGAAUCCAAGUUCAUAUACCAAAACAUUUUUAUUUGCUAUGUCUGAGUGACUACAUGUUGUUUGAAUCAGCUGCAGGCUAAUUUGUAACAUUUCAAAUAAAUGAUAGUUUAAUUCCUCCAGGAUUUGAGUAAGGUGAAAAUAGAGCUAAAAACCAUGAUUCUGUCACAGUCUGGGAAAAUGAAAAAGCAAUCAAUUAGUGAGUUGGGCUUAAUUUUUUUUUUUUUUUUUCUGGAACUGGUGAUAGCAGAAAACAAGCAGUAAAGUAGUCAGGCAUGAUAUACUUGACAAGAACCACCACCUGUUCGGUAGCAACUCUAAAAUAAGUACUAACUUAGGGGCAGUUGUUGUGCCCAGGUCAUAGUCAUACUCCUUCCAGGGGACUUCCUGAUGACAGAAAAGAUGCUGACCAGCUGGGGUCUUCUUUCCAAAUAACAAACUUUUCUCUUGCAUUUAGAUUAAUUAACCAUUGGUUACAGUGAAACAAGCAUAUGUACAGAGUUAAUCUCCUAUAGCUUGAAGUUAUACAUGAUCUUUAUUUGAGUAUCUUGACUUGUUAAAGGACAGUGUUUUAAAAGCUGGAUUUGGUUAUGUUCUUCUGGAGACUAAGAAAAUAGAGUCCUUGAAAUCAAGCUGACUCUGCUUUUAGCCUCCUAAAUGAAAAGGUAGAUAGAACAGGUCUUGUUUGCAAAAUAAAUUCAAGACCUACUUAUCUACCAACAGCAAUUACACGCUUUCCAUCGUCUUUCUAUAGAAAAUAGGAGUAGUACACUUAUAGAUGAGAAAACUGGAGAAAGACAUAGUGAACAUGUGAGAAUCUUGCUCUACUAAUUGAUAGGAAGGUGACUAGAAAUUGGCGAAGUUGUCUUGGUAAGUUGAGGAGAGGACUUUUCUUAUAGUGCAGUCUGGUAGCUGAACCUCCCUGCAUCAAGACCAAUGUAGUCUUAUUUACAGAAUGCCACAUCACAGUGAAUUGUGCUGUGGACAGCUUCCAGUGUGUGAGUUGUGGAAGAUGAUGAUUUUAACAGAUUUUGGAGGAUGAGAAGUAUUAAGAAGAAGGCCCCACUGCCCAUGCAUUUGCUCUGCUUUUUACUUUUGACCAAGUAUACACUUCAGAAAUAUCUUAUUGGAAGUAUACAAAGUGAUUGUGUGUCAUUUGAACCAGCAGGAAGUAAUUUAUUAAACACACUUUUCUAAAUAAAAGUCAUUUAAUUUUAUCAGAAAUCAGUGUCAUUUUAGAUUGCAAGUCUCAAACCAACUUUCCAAUUCUGACUUGUAAGGGUGUCUUAAAUCCUGAAUACUGUACUCUGUAUUACUAAACCCAUGUUAGUUUACGCCAAGAUUCUGUGGUGGUUUUACAUAUUCUUUUUCCCCUUUGUUAAGGUGGGGAGGCCACAGCUUGUAUGAAUGACUUUCUCAGGAGUUAUAAAGUGAUACAGGUAAAGCUAAGAAAAGAACAGAUUUUGAUAACUUUUGUUUUAACUGUCCAGUGUUAGGGAUUGUGGCUACAGUGGUCUAAUUUUUAAAAACUCUUUUUUUUGCUUUGUUUUUUAACAGACUUAUCAGCAGGUUGCAGGUGAACAUGGCCUUGAGGUAAAUCUGUCCCUUGCUGAAUACAGUUUCAGUAGAUUGUUUAUAGUAGUUUCAGGAAUUGAGAUUUUUUACAAAAAUACAAAAGUUUUGCUUGGUUCUGUUCUAGAUGUUUUCUUCUAAAUAAAUGAGAAAGAUGUUUCAACAAAGGCUCUUUAUGCUGAAUAAUUGUGAUGCUUGAAGUUGCUAAUCUGCUUUAAGUGGAUUUUAAAUGUCAGGCAAUUCUAGACAGUUUUUUCUUGGUCAAAUAAAAAUUUAAUUAAAACUUUAUA